Molecule: small nuclear RNA, 108 nt
Organism: Molossus molossus (Pallas's mastiff bat)
Lineage: Eukaryota; Metazoa; Chordata; Mammalia; Chiroptera; Molossidae
Source: RefSeq, a predicted model, not a curated record
GUGCUCACUUUGGCAACACAUACACUAAAAUUGGAAUAAUACAGAGAAGAUUAGCAUGGUCUCUGCACAAGGAUGGCAUGCAAAAUUCUUGAGGCAUUCCAUUUUUUU